RNAcentral lists this ribosomal RNA (1037 nucleotides) under Salmonella enterica. RNAcentral describes it as "partial 23S ribosomal RNA". It matches the Rfam family "Bacterial large subunit ribosomal RNA", at positions 1 to 969 of the family's 2925-position model. The record is from RNAcentral. Lineage: Bacteria; Pseudomonadati; Pseudomonadota; Gammaproteobacteria; Enterobacterales; Enterobacteriaceae. RNAcentral also lists the same sequence under 2 other names.
GGGUUGUGAGGUUAAGCGACUAAGCGUACACGGUGGAUGCCCUGGCAGUCAGAGGCGAUGAAGGGCGUGCUAAUCUGCGAUAAGCGCCGGUAAGGUGAUAUGAACCGUUAUAACCGGCGAUACCCGAAUGGGGAAACCCAGUGUGAUUCGUCACACUAUCAUUAACUGAAUCCAUAGGUUAAUGAGGCGAACCGGGGGAACUGAAACAUCUAAGUACCCCGAGGAAAAGAAAUCAACCGAGAUUCCCCCAGUAGCGGCGAGCGAACGGGGAGGAGCCCAGAGCCUGAAUCAGCAUGUGUGUUAGUGGAAGCGUCUGGAAAGGCGCGCGAUACAGGGUGACAGCCCCGUACACAAAAGCGCAUAUGCUGUGAGCUCGAUGAGUAGGGCGGGACACGUGGUAUCCUGUCUGAAUAUGGGGGGACCAUCCUCCAAGGCUAAAUACUCCUGACUGACCGAUAGUGAACCAGUACCGUGAGGGAAAGGCGAAAAGAACCCCGGCGAGGGGAGUGAAAAAGAACCUGAAACCGUGUACGUACAAGCAGUGGGAGCCCCACCACUAAGCCAGUGGUGAACUCCACAUACGCAUCCUUUGCUGAGGAGACGGUUAACGGAGCGAAAGCGACGUUCAACCUCAAAAGAAGCAGAGGGGGCUUAGUGGUGGGGUGACUGCGUACCUUUUGUAUAAUGGGUCAGCGACUUAUAUUCUGUAGCAAGGUUAACUGUAUAGGGGAGCCGGAGGGAAACCGAGUCUUAACCGGGCGUUAAGUUGCAGGGUAUAGACCCGAAACCCGGUGAUCUAGCCAUGGGCAGGUUGAAGGUUGGGUAACACUAACUGGAGGACCGAACCGACUAAUGUUGAAAAAUUAGCGGAUGACCUGUGGCUGGGGGUGAAAGGCCAAUCAAACCGGGAGAUAGCUGGUUCUCCCCGAAAGCUAUUUAGGUAGCGCCUCGUGAAUUCAUCUCCGGGGGUAGAGCACUGUUUCGGCUAGGGGGCCAUCCCGGCUUACCAACCCGAUGCAAACUGCGAAUACCGGAGA